GUCCAAAAACUUGUUAUCACUCAGUGUUACGACACUUAAAAAAAAAACCAAACAAACACUCUCUCGAAACUCACCGAGACUUCUUCUCGAUUUCUCCUCCGUCAUGUUAUCUGGUGCUUUACUUCAUGGCUCACACUGGACAAACCUCUAAUCGUCGUCGUCCAUGGCGACGGAGUUCAAUCUUCCGGGGCUUCGGUUCUGUAGACUAUAUGCUUCUGUAUUAAUGGGUCUCGAUUAGGGUUUCAGUUUGAUUUGGGGUUUCUCUUCUUCGUCUCUGUUUCUGUAUCAAUGGCAGCUUUCCUCAACCUUAACUCUUAUGAUGUAGUCAAGAAGCUCGAUGAGCAUUUUCUCAGUCACCUUGUAUCACCUUGUAAGUUGUGCACAUUUUUAAUAAGAUUAAAUCCUAAAGUCUCAAUCUUUUCGAUCUAUAAGAGUAACAUUUAGUUUCCUUUGAGUUUGUUUACAGUAACAGGUACCAUAGUUCCAAGGAUUAUACUUGUCUUUGCUGCCCUUGCGGUUAGUGAUUCAAAUGGCUUCAAUUCUGACCUAGAUAUCGUGAACCCGAGUCUAUACUCUUUAUAGGAGACUCUGUGGAUUAAAUAAAAUAAAGGAGUCAGGUUCGAGGGAGCUAUGCUCUUCGAGUUCAAAGAAAAGGAAGGAGUCGGGGUUUCCUGAGCAACAAGCUGCUCCACAGCUAUAUCACUGGCAUAUUAGGCAUCCAGAAAGUCACACAUAUACUUGACUUCACAGAAUCGAAAAUAUUGUGACAUUUCCAUCCACAAAUCCUAACACACAGGACCAUGUACAUCUUGAUAACAUCGGGUUCUGUUUUUUGUUCUCUUUUCGGGUUAAAUUUUUUGUUUGUCUACUUGUAUCAUGCUUAAUGAUCUAUGUGAUGUUUGACAAUUUAGAUUUUCUAUUUAUAUCUACUUUACAUUAUUAAUGUUUGUUAACAUAAUUGUAAAGAGUUUUAUUUAUUUAUUAAUUAUUAUAUUUAGUUUU
This is a long non-coding RNA of Brassica napus (rape), 1002 nucleotides long. RefSeq lists it as uncharacterized. The transcript is spliced from 4 exons. NCBI's taxonomy places the organism in Eukaryota, Viridiplantae, Streptophyta, Magnoliopsida, Brassicales, Brassicaceae. The record is from RefSeq and is a predicted model, not a curated record.